GGGCCCGUGGCAUAGUCUGGUGGCGCGCUCGACUGAUAAUCGAGUGGUCCCGUGUUCAAAGUCACGGCGGGCCCA
RNAcentral lists this transfer RNA (75 nucleotides) under Candidatus Woesearchaeota archaeon. Its description in RNAcentral is "tRNA-Ile". It matches the Rfam family "tRNA". From Rfam's summary of the family: Transfer RNA (tRNA) molecules are approximately 80 nucleotides in length. Their secondary structure includes four short double-helical elements and three loops (D, anti-codon, and T loops). The record is from RNAcentral. Lineage: Archaea; Nanobdellati; Candidatus Woesearchaeota.